This 92-nucleotide ribosomal RNA is filed under the name Piliocolobus tephrosceles (Ugandan red Colobus). Lineage: Eukaryota; Metazoa; Chordata; Mammalia; Primates; Cercopithecidae. The record is from RNAcentral.
GUCUACGGCCAUACCACCUUUAACAUGCCCGAUCUUGUCUGUUCUUGGAAGCUAAGCAGGGUUGGGUCUGGUUAGUACCUGAAUGGGAGACA